Transfer RNA from Camelus ferus (Wild Bactrian camel), 75 nucleotides. It matches the Rfam family "tRNA". Rfam says of the family: Transfer RNA (tRNA) molecules are approximately 80 nucleotides in length. Their secondary structure includes four short double-helical elements and three loops (D, anti-codon, and T loops). The record is from Rfam. Lineage: Eukaryota; Metazoa; Chordata; Mammalia; Artiodactyla; Camelidae.
GAGGGUGUAGGUCAGUGGUAGAGCAUGUGCUUAUUAGCAUGUACAAGGUCCUGGGUUCAAUCCCCAGUACCUCUA